This is a long non-coding RNA of Dreissena polymorpha, 187 nucleotides long. RefSeq lists it as uncharacterized. The transcript has 2 exons. Lineage: Eukaryota; Metazoa; Mollusca; Bivalvia; Myida; Dreissenidae. The record is from RefSeq and is a predicted model, not a curated record.
CCAUGUAAACAUUCAUGUAAUUCAAGCAAUUGUUUUAGUAGAGUAAAAGAAAAUGAAAGAAAAUAUUUAUGCUAAAACAGUCUUGUGUCAAUAUAAACAUUUUAUAACGAUAAUGCACACACAGUAUUCAGGUAUUUGUGGAGAUUUCUCUGGACAAAGUCUAACAGAAUACCAAAAUAUCGUGAAA